This 134-nucleotide ribosomal RNA is filed under the name uncultured bacterium. RNAcentral describes it as "partial 16S ribosomal RNA". It matches the Rfam family "Bacterial small subunit ribosomal RNA", at positions 355 to 509 of the family's 1533-position model. The record is from RNAcentral.
UGGGGAAUAUUGCACAAUGGGGGGAAACCCUGAUGCAGCAACGCCGCGUGAGUGAUGACGGCCUGGUUGUAAGCUCUGUCUUCAGGGACGAUAAUGACGGUACCUGAGGAGGAAGCCACGGCUAACUACGUGCC